GCCUGGUGUAGUGGUGCACACCUGUCAUCCCAGCAGCUCAGGAGGCUGAGGCAGGAGGAUCUCGAGUUCAAAGCCAGCCUCAGCAAAAGUGAGGCGCUAAGCAACUCAGUGAGAUCCUGUCUCUA
This 125-nucleotide small RNA is filed under the name Marmota monax (woodchuck). The record is from RNAcentral. Lineage: Eukaryota; Metazoa; Chordata; Mammalia; Rodentia; Sciuridae.